This 498-nucleotide ribosomal RNA is filed under the name uncultured bacterium. RNAcentral describes it as "partial 16S ribosomal RNA". It matches the Rfam family "Bacterial small subunit ribosomal RNA", at positions 30 to 523 of the family's 1533-position model. The record is from RNAcentral.
AUUGAACGCUGGCGGCAUGCCUUACACAUGCAAGUCGAACGGUAACAGGUCUUCGGAUGCUGACGAGUGGCGAACGGGUGAGUAAUACAUCGGAACGUGCCUAGUAGUGGGGGAUAACUACUCGAAAGAGUGGCUAAUACCGCAUGAGAUCUACGGAUGAAAGCAGGGGAUCGCAAGACCUUGUGCUACUAGAGCGGCCGAUGGAAGAUUAGGUAGUUGGUGGGAUAAAAGCUUACCAAGCCGACGAUCUGUAGCUGGUCUGAGAGGACGAUCAGCCACACUGGGACUGAUACACGGCCCGGACUCCUACGGGAGGCAGCAGUGGGGAAUUUUGGACAAUGGGCGCAAGCCUGAUCCAGCAAUGCCGCGUGCAGGAUGAAGGCCUUCGGGUUGUAAACUGCUUUUGUACGGAACGAAAAGCCCUGGGUUAAUACCCUGGGGUCAUGACGGUACCGUAAGAAUAAGCACCGGCUAACUACGUGCCAGCCGCCGCCGUAA